This is a non-coding RNA of Pelobates cultripes (western spadefoot toad), 10830 nucleotides long. Lineage: Eukaryota; Metazoa; Chordata; Amphibia; Anura; Pelobatidae. The record is from the annotation of a GenBank genome assembly.
AAGUCUUCUAAUGGGUUUUAUUUAACAUAACUACAUCUCUUUAAAAUUCCAAAUUCCAAAUAAGCAUUAGUACUAAGGGCUACUAAAAACUUUCUAUCUAGAAAGCAAUGCUUUAGAUAUUAUUUUAGUAGCGGAUUGCAGAGGAAUUAAUAUAUUUGCCAAGUAAGGAAGUAUAAAGAGAAAGCAAAAGGGUAGUGAGAAGAGAGCCUUGUGGAACUCCAACUGAGACAGGAUUAUGGGAGGAGGUGUUAUUAGAAAAAGAGACACUGAAUGAAAGUUGGGAGAGAUUGGACAAGAACCACAAAUGGACAGUGUCACAGGGACAAAGGGAGUAAAAGAGUUUGCAGAAGGAGAAAAUGACCAACAGUGACCAAGGCAGCAGAGGAGUAUAGAAGAAUUAGUAUGGACGUAUUGAUUUAGCAACACUUAGAUUGUUACUAACUUUAAUCAGACCAAUCUCAGUAGAAAGGGGGCAGAAGCCAGAUUGAAGAGGGUCAAGGAGAGAGUUGGAAUUGAGAAAGCAUGUCCGUCUUUCCAGAAGCUUUGAGGAGAAAGGAAGUAGAAGGUAGCUAUAAGGGGAAGAUGGCUUUUUUAGGAUUAGUAAGACAGUAGCAUGCUUACAGGGAGCAGGGACAAUGCCAGAAGAAAGACAGCAUUUGAAGAUAUGCAUUAAGGAUGGCACAGGGCAAUGGGAGAGAGAUCUGAUAAGUUGAGAUGAAACAAGAUCAAGCUGAAAAGUCUUGUGGCCAAAUUAAAGUAGAAAGGCAGCCACCUCUUGUUCAGUAGCUGGAGAUAAGGCCUGGAGAGUUGGAAAGGUGCAGUCCAAGUGUGAUUGAGAGAGGGUGGAGAAGGGUGGAUAAUUAUUUCCUUAAUGGAUUUCUCUUGCCAGAACUAACAGCUUUGUUUGAGGGGUGGCCACGGCAGGGUGAUGAAGAGAGUUGAAAGUAUCAAAGAGAUGUCUGAGAUUGUGGGACUAAACCAAUGAGAGAGGAAAUGUGUGGCUGAUUAACUAGGGUGAGGUUUAUGCUGUAUGAGCACAAAAUUAAUUUGUAAUGGAAAUAAUAAGAUGCAAGAUUUCCCCCAGCAGUGUUUAGUUGAACAAGAGAAUCUCUGUAGGUAGUGGGUCAACUUAGUGUGCCAUAGUUAGAGGCACAUCCUCCUUGUGACGUUUGUUUGGAGUGGGGCUGUACUGUCCAAGGUAGAGGUGAGGGUAGUGUUGUACGAGGACAAGCACUUGGCUGCAGAUGAAUGGGAGUAACAGGCUGCCUGUUAUAUGCCACCCUCACCAGUAACCCAUGAUGCUUGGCUCAAGGCUUCUAGAAGCUUUUAGAAGAUGAUUUUUUGAAACUGCCGCAAAAUACAGCAAAACCCAAAAACUAUUUUUAAAAAGGGAAAUAAUGUAAAAAAUAUUCUAGCUCUGAGCACUUUCCGAAAUAUAGACUGUAGGGAUGAACGCAAUGUUGGCUUUCAUACUUGUGGUAAUUGCAAAGCGUGUAGACAUUCUUAUAAGAUCUAUAAACAAUUUAGGAGUAAACAGACACUUGAAGUUUUUAAAAUUAAUAGUCAGAUCUCAUGUUCCUCCACACAUGUUGUGUACCUGAUCACUUGUGGUUGUGGUGCACAAUAUGUAGGGAGGACAGGCUAAAAUAAGAUAUUUAGAACAUUACAACAAUAUACACACAAAAAAUUACCACACAUUCGGUCCCCUUACACUGUAAUUCAUGUCCAUCCUUUUCAGGCAAUCUUAAUUUUAUUGCUAUAGAACAAGUGCAAUUAGAUAAGAGAGGAGGAGAUUUGAUGUUAAAAUUAAGGAAAAGGGAAGGUGGUUUUUUUAAAUAAUAUUUGUAUUAAAUUUUGUAUUAAUUGAUAAAUUUUUCAUUUUUUUAAUUUAUAAUCUGUACUAGAGACUCCCCCUGUAUCUUUUAGGGGAUUUUUAGAUUGUUCUUGAUAUGUAGGGUGACAUAAUGAGUCCUUCUGACCUUGUAUCUGUCCAUUUAUCUUUCAAGUGAUAUAUUUAGGAAUGUAUUUAAGCACUUAUUCAGAGCAUGUUAAACCUUCUGUUUUUAUACUUUAUUGCACAAGAUAAUUAUAAGAUUUUGAUAUAUGUUUUCAAUUUUAUGUUUUUAUUUACAUGUAAUUACCGAGCACCAUCGGGACUUUGUAUGAGAUGAUAUUAUGAAUUUGUUGACAUGCAUCGCCAUGAAUGUAACGCAAGCGCUAAACCGGUCUCCAAGCAAAUGGAAUGCAUACGUGCAACAUCCGUACUGUAUUUAUUCAUACCCAAUAAAUGUUUUAAUUACCGAAAAGGUGUUAUUCUUAAUCCAUACGGAGAUUAACCUGUGGACUACAAUUGAUGGAAGAUACCGGCUUGGGAUUUUGAUAUGUCUAAAUAUCACUUCAAUUUUGUAAGUGUUAUCUAUUAAAAGGCCAAAUACAGCGAUAUGCCUAAAUAUCACUUCAAUUUUAUAAGUGUUAUCCAUUAAAACGCCAAAUACAGUAUAUACUUAUUUGUUCUGUCUUUUACUCUCUCCUACAUGCCCAUUCUUGUAUUGAGGAUUCUUUAUCAUCUCUAAAACAUUUGAUAUGCCUACAAUCAAUACACGUUUGUGAGAGCAACUUUAAAAAUUACCACUAGAAAUUGUGUUUACUGUACUACUCUGUGAGUAUUUUUUUGUUUCCUUUUACUGUAGAUUCUUUUUUGUUUGUAUACAUUGUGGGGACUGGGAGGAGUCCUGUGAUAUAUUCUACAGUUUUGAAGAUUGUAGGUAAAUUACCUUGUAAGGUUUUAUUCACAUAUGGUGUGUUUUUCCACUUUAUCAAUUAGGGUGUUACUUUAUAUAAUAUAUCUUCUAGAGUAUGUGCAGUUAAGACUGUAUGAGCAGUAAUUUCUACAUGGCUCUGCUCCCUAAGACUCAACACAGUGAUCUCAGAUUCUAGAAGACAAAAUGUGAAGAGAGUAUUAUACAGGGCAGGUACAGACAAGCACACUGUGACAAACUGCUAUGCACACACACUGACGGACACACAGACACACACGAACGCACACUGUUCCUACAUACUCUACUAUGCACAAACAUAAACUUCUACGUACAUGCACAUACAUGUACAUCCUACUACAGACAGUGAGACAAUGUCUACAAACACUAACAAAGACAUACACUUAUUCAUACAUAUACACACAGACAUAGAAACACACAUACGUGCACAUUAUGUGUAUGUAUAUAUUUGUUUUUCUUAGCAUAUAUAUAUAAAUCUCUUUUUUGUUGAGGUUUUAAUGAGAAGACUUUGGCUAUUCCUGUGCUUAUGGAUGUAAAUAGAGCCACAACAAUACAGUAAAUAUUUACAUUAAAGAAAGGACAUUCACUAUACUUCAGGUAUCUGCGGCCUCACACUGUUGUUUUGUCCUGCUGGUUGUUACUGCUCUGUAGACAGCAGGAAAACAUGAUUAUAUAUUCAACCGGCAGCACAAUGAAGAAAAGCAUAAAAGUUUUCAAAGUAAAUUUAGACAAAAGUAAAACUUGUUUUUUUAAUUAAAAGCAACAUAGAGUAUAAUUAAAAGCAGAGUAUUCCUAAGACUAAGUGUGAUUUUGUCCACAUGAAAUGUGAGGUGGCACUUACCCUCACUGUGUGUUAUCCUGUGUGUUAUAGCUGCUUUUAAUUAUGAAGUAAUAAAGAAUCAAGUUUUAAUUACAACUGAAUUUACUCUGAAAAUGUUUUGCUUUUCGCAGUGGAAUGUGUAAUAAUUGAGGGGCAAACUUUGCAUUCAUGGAUGUUCCACAUUGUUGCAGAUUUUAAAUCCACCUCUGCCCUCCAGAAAAUAAUAUUAUAUAAUGAUAGGAUAAUAUGAGAAUUCGAAGUGACUUUUUAAAUUUAAAGGGAGAUUAUAGUCACCAAAAAAAAAAUAGCGUAAUAAAGUACUUUUGGUAUAUAGAUCAUUCCUAUGAAGUAUCACUGCUCAAUUCUAUGCCAUUUAGGAGUUAAAUCACUUUUGUUUCUUUUUAUGCAACCCUAGCCACACCUCCCUUGACUGUGACUGAGACAGCCGGCAUAAAACGUUUUUUUUUUUCAAUCAGAUGUUAACUGACGUUAGAAGUAUUUCUCUCCUGCUCUGUAAAUUUAACUUUAAUCACAUACAGGAGGCUCCAGCAAGGUCUAGCAAACUACUAACAGUGAAGCGGAGCCCUAGUCUUGGAAGUGACUUUCCUCCGCUGGAUCACCAAGUGUAGAAUCAGGAAAAGAAAAUGGCAAGUAAGUAGCCCCCCUCCUCUCCAGCAACUGGACAACACACAGUUCUGGGAGUACAACUGAUUUUAUUUCUGCCACACACAGCUUUUAUGCAUUGCCCCUAAGUCAAGAAUACAAGAUUUUCUUUCCCAAGAGCCUCUGUGUUUGAGAGAUAAUUGAACUCCAAUUAGUAUAACUCAAUUCUCUCUCAAAUACAGAAACUUACAGAUAUUUUUAAUAUACCCCAAAAAUACAUGAACACAGUACAGGAACCCAACAAAAAUCAUGUUACCGAAUAGCCCCAAACUAAGUGCACAACAUAUACAAAAAGCGCUCAGAUCUUUUUGUUAGAAAGAAAGUUAUAAUCAAACACAAUUUUGACUGACCACUCGGCUUUCGGGGGUUCCUGUGUGAACACCGACGAACGCUCCCCCUAGCUGCUAUGGAGCAAAUGCUCCCCCUGUUUGGUAGAUCCUAUCUCCCGAACACCGUUUGUCUAGGUCAGCAUUUUUCAAUUGGUGUUCCAGGGUUCCGCCGUGAUUAUCGCAAAUCAGGGGCCUGGUCAGGUGCCGUGGCCCUUUAAGAGCAUGACCGGGCCCCUGUACUAUCGGCCGGUUGGGAGGAAGUGAUAGCACUUCCUCCCAACUUCACAGAGUUGCUGCCGCGUGGUAGAGAGGGAGGAGGCCCUGUCACUGGGGGGCAGAACCAAUGGCCACCCAGAGAGUGAGCAGCAUGGAUAGCAGAGGAGAGACUGGAGUGAACAAACAGCAGCUCACUCCCAUGAGCCUCAGCCAACAUCACCAGGACCACAAGUAAGCCACCCUCCUGGACACACAAGUUAACAGGAGGGUGACUCUGAUGUAUGUCAUAUUGUGUGUAUGUGCCAGUGUGUGUAUGUGUCACUGUGUGACAGUGUGUGGCUGCGUGGGUGCCAGUGUGUACCUGUGUGUCAAGGUGUGUGAAUGUGCCUAUGUGUGUGUGUGUAUAUGUCAGUGUAUGUGUAUCUGAGUGUUUGUCAGUGUGUAUAUCUGAGUGUGUGAAUGUGUCAGUGUUUGUAUUUGUGGGUGCAAGUGUGUGUAUAUGUCACUGUGUGUAUCUGGUGUGUGCAUUUGUGAGUCAAGAAGUGUGUAUCUAAGUGUGUGUAUGUGUAUCUGAGUGUGUGUAUCUGUGUGUCAAGGUGUGUGUGUCAGUGUGUGUUAAUCUGUGUGUCAGUGUGUGGGUGCAUGGGUGCUAGUGUGUACCUGUGUGUCAAGGUGUGUGAAUGUGCCAGUGUAUAUCAAUGUGUUUGUAUGUGCCUAUGUGUGUGUGUGUAUAUGUCAGUGUGUGUGUGUGUCAGAGUGUAUAUCUGAGUGUGUGAAUGUGUCAGUGUUUGUAUGUGUGGGUGCAAGUGUUUGUAUAUGUCACUGUGUGUAUCUGGUGUGUGCAUUUGUGAGUCAGGAUGUGUGUAUCUGAGUGUGUGUAUGUGUAUCUGAGUGUGUGUAUCUGUGUGUCAAGGUGUGUGUGUCAGUGUGUGUAUCUGUGUGCCACUAUGUGCCAGUGUGUGUAUCUGUGUGUUAUAUACAUACACACACACACACACACACAGAUACACAAAAAUACAAACACUGGCCCAUACAAAUACAGAUACAUACACCUUGACACAUACAAACACAGAUACACACACUUUGACACAUAGAUGCACACACCUUGACACACAGAUACAUACACACACAGAUACAUAUACACACACACAGAGAUACACACUGUGUGUGUCAAGGUGUGUGUAUCUGUGUGUCAAUGUGUGUAUCUGUGUGCCAGUGUGUGUAUCUCUAUGUCAGAUACACAGACACACACACAGAUACACACGGACACACAGAUACACACACUGGCACAUACAAACACAGAUACACACACUUUAACAUACAGAUACACACACUUUGACACACAGAUGCACACACACACACACAGAUACACACUAUGUGUCAAGGUGUAUGUAUCUGUGUGUCAAAGUGUGUGUAUGUGUGCCACUAUGUGCCAGUUUGUGUUUCUGUGUGUCAGAUUCAUACACACUGACACACAGAUGCACACACUGGCACAUACAAACACAGAUACACACACCUUGAUUCACACAAACACACACACACAUACUGUGUGUCAAGGUGUAUGUAUCUGUGUGUCAGUGUGUGUAUCUGUGUUCCAGUGUGUGUGUGUGUAUCUGUGUGUCAGAUACACACACACACACAGAUACACAUUGACACACAGAUUUACACACUGACACAUACAAACACAGAUACACACACCUUGACACACAGACACACACCGGCACAUACAAAAAAAAGUUUCACAUUUUUUUUACCAAGGAAAGGAGGGGGACUGGUGGGGUUCCACAAUGUUGAUACACUAUGUCAAAGGGUUCCAUGGGAAAAAUUUAUUGGAAACCCCUGGUCUAGGUGGUUGGGAAUUGGGACGGGCAGCAGUACCAUCUUUGCCCGGAUUCGCAGAGACUCAAGGCUGAAAACAGUUCCAGGUGUUCCACGACCAAGUACCGCUGCCUGCGUUCAGGAGACAAAAUGCCAGCCACCCAGGAAAUGGACUCAAGCGAAGGUGUUAAGUCGUUCAUUUGUUAUUAACAGCAAGGGGAGGUCGUUGUUCACUGGGUGGAGGGGGAGAGGGGGCAUAACAAGACCAAUCUCACCACAUUGCAUUGGAGAAGCCUGGUUGCUCGACUGUCUCCCCUUUGGACACACAGCUCUGUCUGUUCACUGCUUGACCCUCAACACAGAGCUUUGUCUCAUUCUUGGGGGGAUUUAUUGUAUGCUGUUCCAGUUUGACUGCUAGGAGUGUAAACCUAUUCGUAUGGUUUUUCCUAUUUGGCUGUUUACGGCAUUCAUAUGGUUUCCUGUUCGGCUGAUUGGUGUUCUGCAGUAGCUGUGCCUGUGUCUCUGGAAGGGUAAGAUCUACUAAAUGGUGGUUUAACCCUUUUAUGCCUGGGGGUGCCGUUACAAUUGGUGGCAAGUGGCGGGAUCGUUCCUACAGCCAGAAGGACAGCUACAGGAGACACCAUUUCUUUGGAUUUACAAAUUGAGGGCAACGCAUGUCUAAAUACAGCGACCCUGACAGCACCAGGAUGGAACCAGCAGUGGAGUACGAUGAGGGUGUCAUGGAUGACCGAGAUGCAGUUCGCAAAGGCAUCUGGUACCAGGCAUUGGGCAUUUUGGAGUACCAGCGGGGCGAGAGACUCCCCAAGGAAGACCAGCGAUUGCAGAAGCGACUAGCCCUGCGGAUGCCCUUCCUGGGAGAGCAGCCCCUGGAGGAAUGGGUGAAGGAAUUGGAGCUUCUGGUAUGGCAGGAGAUUUGGCGGGAAGAAGCCUACCAGGCGCUCUGGUGGUAUGGGGCACAGUACCUGCCCUGGACAGUCGAGCAUGACAAGCCAGAGGGAGAGGAGUUUGAUGGUCCUGGUUUGUUAUGGGAGGCUUUUUCAGAGCCUGAGUUUGGGAGCUCUACACAAACCCGGUUCAGUGAUCUCUUGGAGUGGAGGGAGAGCAGGUAUGACUGGGACGACACUCAUGAGAUUGAGAAAGACCUGGUCCACCAAGUGACCCAAGAGAUGGAGCUGGAGCAGGGCUACCAAGAUCUGUUCCACUCCAGUGACAAGGCUCAGCAGGGAAGCGGAGACCCAGAUCCAUACCCAUUCAGCUGGGCAGAUAUUGCAGAAUGUUACUGGGAAGAACCCCAGGUGGCUGGUGGAGAUGGGACCGAGGUCUCUCCACCGGUCCUGCAGGGAAUUGGGAGCCCAGUCUCCAUUCCCCAGCAGGAGAUAUUGCAGGGAAUUGGGAGCCCAAGCUCCAUUCCCCAGCGGCAGGCUGAGUUACAGGGGACAGAGAUAGUUGCUUCUGUCCCCCAGCAGCAGAGUGAAUUGCAGGGAAUUGGGAGCCCAAGCUCCAUUCCCCAGCAGCAGGCUGAGUUACAGGGGACAGAGAUAGUUGGUCCUGUCCCCCAGCGGCAGUGUACCUUGCAGGGAGAGGAGAGCAGCGUCCUCCCUCCAAAGUGGCAGGGUGAGCUACAGGGAUGCUGGGCAGUCGGCUCAGAUCCCCAGAGGCAGUGUGAAUUACAGGGAAUUGGGAGCCCAGUCUCCAUUCCCAGUGGCAGUAUGAGUCAUUGGGAAUUGGGAGCCCAGUCUCCAUUCCCCAGCGGGACAUACAGCAGGGAAUUGGGAGCCAAGUCUCCAUUUCCCAGUGGCAGAGUGUCCUACAGGGAAUAGAGAGCCCAGUCUCCUUUCCCCAGCAGCAGGACUCUGUAUUGGGAACAGAGACAGUCGGUCUCCGCCCCCCGCAGCUGGAAAUAUAUAUGGGAGAGGAGCUUGUUACCCCCUCUCCCCAGCGGCAGCUUAACAUACCAGGGGGGGACAGUAAACCCCACAACCAUGCAGAUGGGGCCGUGGUCUCUGCACUUACAGCACAGGGGGUAGGGACGGUCGGUUCUGCCCCCCAGCGACAGGGCUGUUUAGCCAAAGGGGAGACAGUCGGUCUCCCCCUCCAGCAACCGAGUGGUGUAACCAAAGGGGAGACAGUCGGUCUCCCCCUCCAACAACCAGGCUUCAACCAGGCUACUCCCUUGGUAGCGCUGGCACCAGGGCAGAGUACCUCUGGUCUCUUCCCACUCAGCAACCCACCAAGUUAGCUUACCAGUCACCCACACAGCCGUGGUGAGGCACCUGGACAUGGACAAAGUUCUCCUCUACCCAGGCGUAGUAACCAUUUAUUGUGGGUGGGCUGUAUUACUGUUUGUGUGUUGUGGGUGGGCUGCUGGACUAACAAGGGCACUGACCGGCAGGAGGUCAGAUACCCUGUUAGUCUGUUUGGAAAAGGGGAGAGAUGUGACGAGACCAAUCUCGCCACAACAAGGGACCACACUCAAGUCUUUCAGGAGACAAACAAGGGGAUAUGGACAACCAAACAUAAGGGAAUGGAGUCUGCUACAAACAGGGCAUGAGAUAAGAAAUUCUAAACUAAACAGACUGUUCAAUAAAGGAAGUAUAAACAUUAGAUCUCACUUUAUAGGAAGUAUUUAUUAAGUUUGUGCAUGUUACAUGCUGGGAGUUGUGCCUAGGCUGUAUAAACAAAGUGAUUUAACUCCUGAAUGGCAGAGAAUUAAGCCGUGAGACUGCAGGGGCUUGAUCUAUACACCAAAACGGCUUCAUUAAACUAAAGUUGGUGACUAUAGUGUCUCCUUUAACGGUAAAAAUAGCCAAACUGGAAACAUUCUCCGUUAGCAAUGCUUUCAGUCUGACUACUCUGGCCUUAAAUCAGGAAUGCACUUGAAUUGACUUUGAAUUCUAACUUUUGUAAAUAAUCCUGUGUGCCUUUAAACUGUUACUUGAAGGCACUAUAGUAUAGUAUGUAUAUUUUCUAGUUCAUAGUGUGUUGCUAUAGUUAUUUACAUUUGCCUGUUUCUUGGAGACUAUGUAUUAUAUACAUAGUUCCUUUCUUUUUUUUAAGGGUAUUUUUCUAUACAUUUUUUUUAUACAUAUACUAUUAUUAAAAACAUCUACAUUAUUAUUCAUUCAAAUCAUAUUAAACAUGACUUGUUAUUUCCAGGCCCCAAACAGUGCUUAUUCAUGAAAUAUAACACAUCCAAUUACAAACUACAUAGAUACCUCUAAAUUUAGAUCAAUCAAACAGGAAAACCACCUAAUGGAAAACACACUAUAAGCAUGGAGAAAACAAACUAUUUCAAUUCUUUCUCUUUUUGUGUUCUGCUUCUUGAAACUUUUUGACAGUUCUAAUUACAAGUUCUUUUCUCUACAGCUCAGGAACCAAAGUCACUCUUCCGUUGCCGUGUCUCCUGGGAAAUUUCCUCUGCAGUACUGUCAAAAUCUCCCGACAACUCUGUGUUCUUCUCUGCUCCUCUGAGCUGGAAAAAGAGUUUUGGGAGUGAAUAAUUAUUGACUUAAUUGGAGGGAUGUCUCUGUAUUACAUAGUCAGCAAUGUUGAUAAGGCAGGAUUGGAUGAGAGAUACACAGUGGGAAAUUGCAUUUGCUGUACUUGAUCGUACAUCACUUGCUGAAGAAGCCUAAGUUUGAUGCUACAUGUAAAACUUUAGAACUAAUAACAAAGAAGGUAUAUAGUGUUGGAAUGAACUGUAAAUUAAGUGAUUUGACCCUUGAAAAGCUUUGAAACUCAUUAUUCCAUUUUGAAGAGCAUUGUUCCAUUUAGGAAUCAGCAUUGCAAAUAAGUGGUUCCACUGGUAAAAUUUUAAUUUUAUGUGGUCACACUCAGUUAAGCCUAUAAUACUAAUGAUGUUUAACAGGUAAGCUCAUAUAGUAACUAGCUAGUGAAAAAAAAACACAUUCAACUCAAAAGUCUUCAAAUACAAUUUGAUAUAGUAGGUGAUGGAUCACAUACAUUAUUUGUGUGAAGAUGAACAAUAAGCUGUAUACACCCCUUGUUGUCAAAAAGUUAAUGAGAAAAUGUUUAAUUAUUUAAAGUCAUGAAACAGCUUUUUAACGUUUACAAAAUAUAAACUAAUAAUUAUUACUGGCAAAUCCCUUAGCAAUAAGUAUCUCUCUUUUAUUUUUUUCAAAAUCUAAUUAACAUGCAUAAAUGUAAUUGAUCACUAUCAUGCACU